CCCUUUUGCUCUUUCGAACCACAGCGAGUGCGUACUUCACACACAGCCCUGAGUUUCUUAUUCCAUUUUUGACAGCUAACCACCAGGUAGCCUGAGGAGCACAUUUGGGACCGUAAUUUCACCUGCCGAAAGAAACAUUGGUUCGAUUUCUUAAUCAUCUCCCAAAAUCAACACGCUCCCGCACGCACUUAAACGCACACACACACCCACACGUACAGAGAUUCAUCCCGAAUGCGGAAGGAUACAGCGAGGUGUUGGUGUGCAAAUUAUUAUCACCUCCUAAUGAACGCCACAAACACGGCAAAACAAGCUGAUUUUAUCACAUGCACGAAAGGUGCGCAUCGGCGCUUAGAAGGCCAUCGAAUUUGCCCGGCUAGUGUGGAUCAUAUUGUUACGCAAACGAACAUACGAUUCGCGGACCGCAGUGGGGCGAGUUACACACACCCGCGACGAGUGACUGUACUAGAAAAACUGACGAAAAGAGAAAAAAGACCACAGGCAUCAACCACAACAAGCAGCCCACUAUGGGAAAGCGGUGGUCAUAGGAUUGUAGCCGUGCUGUGAAAUUUUACACAAUUAUUUUCUUUUUAUUUUAGAUAUCAAACUACGACUUUUUUUUUAGAUCCGAUGUUAAGUGGCUUUUAAAAAUAUCUGUUUUAUUUUUUUUUAAUCAUUCUAAAUCUUCUUCAUGUUUGAUCAUGUCCAUUAUUUGAAGGUGUACUAAAAGGUAUGGAUGGGAUCCGAUACCCAGCCCUGCGAAAGAUCGAAGCCUUUAACAAUCAUCAUUUUUGUAGUUGAAUUUUUAUCUUGCGCUUGUUGAAUCAUAAUCUUAAAGGAAAAUCCCUAAAAUUAAGUGUUUUACUAACCAUGCACAGCCGCUUCUAUUGAUUCUAUUGUUAACAGUUUAAACUGAACCUGGACUUUCCUACCCAAACGUAUCCUAAUAAUGUGUGGGAAUAUAUACUGCCGCUU
Long non-coding RNA from Anopheles stephensi (Asian malaria mosquito), 972 nucleotides. RefSeq lists it as uncharacterized. Lineage: Eukaryota; Metazoa; Arthropoda; Insecta; Diptera; Culicidae. The record is from RefSeq and is a predicted model, not a curated record. The transcript is spliced from 3 exons.